This 23-nucleotide non-coding RNA is filed under the name Rattus norvegicus (Norway rat). Lineage: Eukaryota; Metazoa; Chordata; Mammalia; Rodentia; Muridae. The record is from RNAcentral.
GCAAACAUUGACUGUGCCUUCUC